AUUGAACGCUGGCGGCAGGCUUAACACAUGCAAGUCGAGCGAGCGGCGGACGGGUGAGUAAUGUCUGUGAAACUGCCUGAUGGAGGGGGAUAACUACUGGAAACGGUAGCUAAUACCGCAUACCAUCAGAUGUGCCCAGAUGGGAUUAGCUAGUAGUUGGGGUAAUGGCUCACCUAGGCGACGAUCCCUAGCUGGUCUGAGAGGAUGACCAGCCACGCUGGAGCUGAGAAACGGGCCAGGCUCCUAUGGUAGGCAGAAGUGGGGAAUAUUGCACAAUGGGCGCAAGCCUGAUGCAGCCAUGCCGGGUGUGUGAAGAGGGCCUUCGGGUUGUAAAGCACUUUCAGCGAGGAGGCGUUACUCGCAGAAGAAGCACCGGGUAACUCCGUGCCAGCAGCCGCGGUAAUUC
This 406-nucleotide ribosomal RNA is filed under the name uncultured bacterium. RNAcentral's name for it is "partial 16S ribosomal RNA". It matches the Rfam family "Bacterial small subunit ribosomal RNA", at positions 30 to 526 of the family's 1533-position model. The record is from RNAcentral.